This 1235-nucleotide ribosomal RNA is filed under the name metagenome. RNAcentral's name for it is "bacterial LSU rRNA". It matches the Rfam family "Bacterial large subunit ribosomal RNA", at positions 1564 to 2808 of the family's 2925-position model. The record is from RNAcentral.
UGAAUACGAGAUGCUACGGCGUCGAAGCAGUCUAUGUCAUACUUCCAAGAAAAGCUUGCACUGUCAUAAACAAAUAAUGCCUGUACCAUAACCGACACAGGUGGGUAGGUAGAGUAUACUAAGGGGCGCGAGAUAACUCUCUCUAAGGAACUCGGCAAAAUGACUCCGUAACUUCGGGAGAAGGAGUGCCUUAUUUAUAAGGUUGCAAUAACAAGAUCCAAGCAACUGUUUACCAAAAACACAGGUCUCCGCUAAGUCGUAAGACGAUGUAUGGGGGCUGACGCCUGCCCAGUGCCAGAAGGUUAAAGAAGUUGGUUAGCAUCCGCGAAGCUGAUAACUGAAGCCCUGGUGAACGGCGGCCGUAACAAUAACGGUCCUAAGGUAGCGAAAUUCCUUGUCGGGUAAGUUCCGACCCGCACGAAAGGCGUAAUGAUUUGGAUACUGUCUCGGAGAGGGGCUCGGUGAAAUAGACUUGUCUGUGAAGAUGCGGACUACCUGCACCAGGACAGAAAGACCCUAUGAAGCUUUACUGUAACCUGAAAUUGAAAUUGGACUUUACUUGCGCAGUAUAGGUGGGAGGCGUUGAGAAUAUUCUUGCGGGAUUAUUGGAGCCAUCAGUGAGAUACCACUCUUGUAAUGUUAGAUUUCUAACUUUGUAUCAUUAUCUGGUCAAAGAACAGUUUCAGGCGGGCAGUUUGACUGGGGCGGUCGCCUCCUAAACGGUAACGGAGGCGCACAAAGGUUUCCUCUGAACGGGUAGAAAUCGUAUCUAGAGUGUAAAGGCAUAAGGAAGCUAGACUGUGAGACCUACAAGUCGAGCAGGGACGAAAGUCGGUCUUAGUGAUCUGACGGUGCUGAGUGGAAAGGCCGUCACUCAACGGAUAAAAGUUACUCUAAGGAUAACAGGCUGAUCUCCCCCAAGAGUUCACAUCGACGGGGAGGUUUGGCACCUCGAUGUCGGCUCAUCGCAUCCUGGGGCGGUAGUACGUCCCAAGGGUUGGGCUGUUCGCCCAUGAAAGCGGUACGCGAGCUGGGUUCAGAACGUCGUGAGACAGUUCGGUCCAUAUCCGGUGUAGGCGUUAGAAUAUUGAGAGGAGCCUUCUUUAGUACGAGAGGACCGAGAAGGACAUACCUCUGGUGUACCAGUUAUCGUGCCAACGGUAAACGCUGGGUAGCUAUGUGUGGAGUGGAUAACCGCUGAAAGCAUCUAAGUGGGAAGCCCACCUCAAGAUAAG